Non-coding RNA from Mycena latifolia, 95 nucleotides. The record is from the annotation of a GenBank genome assembly. Lineage: Eukaryota; Fungi; Basidiomycota; Agaricomycetes; Agaricales; Mycenaceae.
GACCUGGUAGCACAAUGUCUGUGCGUCUGCAUAGAGUAAGGAGGGGAGCGAAGAAUAUUCUGCAGAAGAUCCCCGUUCGAGCCGGGGUCAGGUCA